GAGGCUGGGCCGUAAGGCUGGUUGUUUCUUGUUGUUGUUGUUGUUUUGUUUUGUUUUACUCCUCUGGUAAUUGCAUCAUUUCCUGGCCGCGUCUCGCACAGAACGCUGAGCCGUGAAGCCGUUGCCCGGGUAAUAACACUUCAAAAAUGCGGGGAUGAUGGAAACGCUGCGGGUCGGAAGGGUAUCCUCGGAUCCGGGGGCCGAUGCUCUCCGCAGUGCUCUAGGCACGGCCCCCCAGCUCCCAGCUUCGGGAGCCUGUCCUUAACUCAAUACAGCGGCAGGUUCUAUCCCUGUUCCUCAACGCGUCCGCGGGGUUGUUGGCACUGAAGAGAAUGUACACAUUGGGUUCCACCUGCUGGAGCACCUGCUGAGACGCUUUACGUAGAUAGGGACUGGAGGGUUGGAAGGGAACAAAGUGAAAGGUGGAGGUCUUGUGAGACCUGAAGGGGAGGCCUGGAUAGAGAGGAAGGUGCGUGAAGAAGAAAGACCGUGAGGAGAGUGAUUCCAGCAUGUGCUCCUGAGGUCCCAAACAAAUCUCUGACCAGGCUGCUGUGAAUGAAGCUUUACUCCCACAGUAUUAUGAAAGCAAACACAAGCCCAGGGUCAAGUGCUUCUUUUGUUCCAGAAGUUCUUUCCCACGAGUUCAAUCCUGCCAUUAGCAUUGAUUUCCACAGCUUUAAUCUAGGACCUCCUAUCUCAGCUUGUUAAAGAACUGUUCAACUAUGACUUUCCUAUAAUCUUAAAGGGAAAAAUGAGAAGUAAGAGGUAGAAAGGGGGUAAAAAUGAAGUCACCUACUUACCUUUACCCCCAGUUGCCUGAAGCAUCUUCAAAUGAUCUACUGUCAUUUGCAAUAUUUCGGCUUUCUCCAACUUUGCAGAUCCCUGCAUAAACAAAUAAUAAAGUCUUGGAAGUUCUAUGGAA
Molecule: long non-coding RNA, 922 nt
Organism: Mustela lutreola (European mink)
Lineage: Eukaryota; Metazoa; Chordata; Mammalia; Carnivora; Mustelidae
Exons: 3
Source: RefSeq, a predicted model, not a curated record